AUUUAACGAGGCGCGGUGGGGUAGCCUAGUGUUCGCUCAUCACGCAGAAAAAACCGGGUACGAUUCCCCACUUGGGUACAAUGUGGGAAGCCCAUUUCUGGUGUCUCCCGCCGUGAUAUUGCUUGAAUAUUACUAAAAGC
Molecule: long non-coding RNA, 140 nt
Organism: Haliotis rubra (blacklip abalone)
Lineage: Eukaryota; Metazoa; Mollusca; Gastropoda; Lepetellida; Haliotidae
Exons: 3
Source: RefSeq, a predicted model, not a curated record